UACGAAGGGGGCUAGCGUUGCUCGGAAUGACUGGGCGUAAAGGGCGCGUAGGCGGAUGGCACAGUCAGAUGUGAAAUUCCCGGGCUUAACCUGGGGGCUGCAUUUGAUACGUGUUGUCUUGAGUUCGGAAGAGGGUCGUGGAAUUCCCAGUGUGAGAGGUGAAAUUCGUAGAUAUUGGGAAGAACACCGGUGGCGAAGGCGGCGACCUGGUCCGACACUGACGCUGAGGCGCGAAAGCGUGGGGAGCAAACAGG
RNAcentral lists this ribosomal RNA (254 nucleotides) under uncultured bacterium. Its description in RNAcentral is "partial 16S ribosomal RNA". It matches the Rfam family "Bacterial small subunit ribosomal RNA", at positions 524 to 776 of the family's 1533-position model. The record is from RNAcentral.